Non-coding RNA from Immersiella caudata, 100 nucleotides. NCBI's taxonomy places the organism in Eukaryota, Fungi, Ascomycota, Sordariomycetes, Sordariales, Lasiosphaeriaceae. The record is from the annotation of a GenBank genome assembly.
GGGCGGGUAGCGUAGUGGUCAGCGUGUUUACUAAGAGUUUUAUCAGCGUUGUUCUUCCAGCGUGUAGCGAGAGUCCUGGGUUCGAAUCCCAGCCCUCCCA